UACGUAGGGGGCAAGCGUUAUCCGGAUUUACUGGGUGUAAAGGGAGCGUAGACGGUUAUGCAAGUCUGAAGUGAAAGCCCAAGGCUCAACCAUGGGACUGCUUUGGAAACUGUAAAACUGGAGUGCAGGAGAGGUAAGCGGAAUUCCUAGUGUAGCGGUGAAAUGCGUAGAUAUUAGGAGGAACACCAGUGGCGAAGGCGGUCUGCUGGACAGCAACUGACGCUGAGGCGCGAAAGCGUGGGGAGCAAACAGG
RNAcentral lists this ribosomal RNA (253 nucleotides) under uncultured bacterium. Its description in RNAcentral is "partial 16S ribosomal RNA". It matches the Rfam family "Bacterial small subunit ribosomal RNA", at positions 524 to 776 of the family's 1533-position model. The record is from RNAcentral.